UACAGAGGUCUCGAGCGUUAGGCGGAAUCACUGGGCUUAAAGCGUGUGUAGGCGGAUCGUUAAGUACCUUGUGAAAUCCCACGGCUUAACUGUGGAACUGCUUGGUAUACUGCCAGUCUUGAGCCAGCUAGGGGCUACCGGAACAAAUGGUGGAGCGGUGAAAUGCGUAGAUAUCAUUUGGAACGCCAAUGGUGAAAACAGGUAGCUGGGGCUGUGCUGACGCUGAGACACGAAAGCCAGGGGAGCAAACGGG
Molecule: ribosomal RNA, 253 nt
Filed under: uncultured bacterium
Lineage: Bacteria
Description: partial 16S ribosomal RNA
Rfam family: Bacterial small subunit ribosomal RNA
Source: RNAcentral